Molecule: unclassified non-coding RNA, 560 nt
Filed under: Hevea brasiliensis (rubber tree)
Lineage: Eukaryota; Viridiplantae; Streptophyta; Magnoliopsida; Malpighiales; Euphorbiaceae
Source: RNAcentral
GCACUAAAAACUGAAACCCAAUCAAGUGAAACAAAAGUUUCUCUCAAGAAAUGGAAAAAAGGAAGAGAAUAUUUUGGUUGUGUAAUCUUCUUCCAACUCUAUUAGUAACACUCCUACUUCUUCACAAACCCACUUUUCAGUGUGAAGUUUCUGCUGAAAAUGGACAAUGCAUUGACCCCAUGUUGGAGAGCAGUGAAAUUGGAGAGGAAGACUCGUCAUUGGAGUCCAGUCGGAGAAUUCUUCCGGCAAUGAAAUACAUUAGUCCCGGAGCUCUCCGGGCCGAUCAACCCGUCUGUGGGAAGGCUGGAAGUCCUUAUUCUGGUUGCCUUCCUCCACCAUCCAAUCGAUAUAACAGAGGGUGCGCAAGAAUCUACAUGUGUAGGCACUAAUUUAGAUCUAUUAAAUGUUAUGUUGUCAUGGCAAGGUCAAAUUUCUCUUUUAGAACUCUUUUCUUUCUUUUUUCUUGUUCAAUAACAAUUUGGUUCUUGUCAUUAUAAAUUAGGGACUAUAUAUUAUCAAUUCUUAUUUAUACAAAUAAAUUUACUUUAUUUUUAGAAAAU